Molecule: transfer RNA, 85 nt
Filed under: Felis catus (domestic cat)
Lineage: Eukaryota; Metazoa; Chordata; Mammalia; Carnivora; Felidae
Rfam family: tRNA
About the family: Transfer RNA (tRNA) molecules are approximately 80 nucleotides in length. Their secondary structure includes four short double-helical elements and three loops (D, anti-codon, and T loops).
Source: Rfam by way of RNAcentral
GCCUAGGUAGCUUAGUUGGUUAAGCAUCUGACUUCAGCUCAGGUCAUGAUCUUGUGGUCCGUGAGUUCGAGCCCUGCAUUGGGUU